UACGGGGGGGGCAAGCGUUGUUCGGAAUUACUGGGCGUAAAGGGCUCGUAGGCGGCCAACUAAGUCGGACGUGAAAUCCCCGGGCUCAACCCGGGAACUGCGUCCGAUACUGGCAGGCUUGAAUUCGGGAGAGGGAUGCGGAAUUCCAGGUGUAGCGGUGAAAUGCGUAGAUAUCUGGAGGAACACCGGUGGCGAAGGCGGCAUCCUGGACCGAGAUUGACGCUGAGGCGCGAAAGCCAGGGGAGCAAAGCGGG
This 254-nucleotide ribosomal RNA is filed under the name uncultured bacterium. Its description in RNAcentral is "partial 16S ribosomal RNA". It matches the Rfam family "Bacterial small subunit ribosomal RNA", at positions 524 to 777 of the family's 1533-position model. The record is from RNAcentral.